GUACUUCCUUCAGCAACACAUAUACUAAAAAACUUAGAAUGAUAAGAGAUCAGCAUAGCCUCUGUGCAAUGAUGCCAUGUAAAUUUAUGAAGCAUUCCAUAUUUCU
RNAcentral lists this small nuclear RNA (106 nucleotides) under Cavia porcellus (domestic guinea pig). The record is from RNAcentral. Lineage: Eukaryota; Metazoa; Chordata; Mammalia; Rodentia; Caviidae.